RNAcentral lists this long non-coding RNA (1131 nucleotides) under Equus asinus (donkey). RNAcentral's name for it is "lncRNA (ENSEASG00005033222.1)". Lineage: Eukaryota; Metazoa; Chordata; Mammalia; Perissodactyla; Equidae. The record is from RNAcentral.
GCGUCAUCCCCCAGGACUCCCCAAGGGAGCCCAGGCGGAGGGCGGCGAGCCGAGGACGGGCCAGCUCUGCCGAUGGGCUGUACCGACGUGAGUGCUGACGGAUCCAGGCUUUGAGAGGAGGCCAGCACUGCACCCAAGCGCCCCCGGAGAAAAGGAGCAUGGGAGACCACCAUGUGUGCAGGGUCCUUGGGCGGAGGCCUCGCCUCCCCUCCAACGGGUCACCUUCGACGCUUUGCAGGGAGCCCUGUGUUGCUGGUACAGGGAAGCCGGACCUCCUAGGACCGAGGGCCCCAGAACGAACAUCUAAAUGGAAAAUCCACUCCCUUCUCCACACGUCUGGAAGAGUGAAGACUUUCGUUGGGGUCAUGGUGCAGGCGCUGUGGGCAGACUGGGCGCCACACUUGCUAGUGACAGAAUCAGCCAAGUUUCUAGACGUUUUGAUUCCUUUCCCCUUCUGUUGUCAGUAUUCAUAUGCACAUGGCUUCCAUUUAUUUUUCAGGACAAACCAGUUAUUAAUGGAAACAACCUUGGCAGCCGGAGCAAGUGUCCUGACGUGUUGGGUUAUCAUUUUAUGCACCAGGGCACAACUGGCUGAGCACGGGCCCAGGAGGUCUGCUCAUGCCCCUCCCUGGUCCCCACUGACCCUCUGGGUCUCGUCUAAUGGGGGUCACCCUGGAUUUGCAUCCUCCAAGAUGCAGCAAGACCUUCUGUGACUUUAGCACAGAAUUCUAAGCACGGGGCCAUCUUGGCCACAGCUGGAGUGAUUGACAAGCACAGUCCCACAGGGGAAAGGAGAGAACAGAACACCCACCUCCCUUCUCCUUAUGUCAGACCAUGCGGCAGGCCAAGGUCGCAAGGCCCCACGUCGUGUCUGAGGUGCUCCAUCCAGAGUCUGUCCUGAGGACUCGGAGAUGAUCUCACAUCACAAGUCCCUCGUAUUUUAUUUUACAACAAAUGAUAAUAUCACCAGGCCAGCUGCACCUUCCCAAAGCUGACAGGAAACCACAGGGAGAGGAAGGCGGAGAAGGCAGAGACAGAUGGUUAAAAGCAGUUGAAGGCAACAUGGCAGCCUCACUUGACCUGACAUAGACCCCAGCUCAUUAUUUGCUCAUUGAAGUGCAUUGUCCUGCC